GCAGAGGCUGCCCAGCAGACCUCAUUCUCCAUGCCACCUCCCCAAGAGAUGAUUGAAGAACUUUGAUCACCACGCCACGUUUGGUAGGGAAGUUCCUUCUGGAGGAUUUGUUCAAAGCCCUGGCUGUUGUAGGCCAUUACUGAACCCAUCUGAGAAUGUGAAAAAGAAAGGAGGAUGAAGGAAUGAAUAUUCUUGGAGUAUCAGUGCCUGGCAGUGUGUGAAUUGCCUAUCAUACAAAGGCCAGUUAAAAUCCUCCUAAAGGUGGGAGAAGCUGUGAUGCUACUCCAGUCCUACAGCUGAAGAAACUGAUCUAUGAUUUUAAAAGUUGCCCAGGAUGAUGCAUCAUCCAUGAAAAACCCAAAACAAAGGCCUGUGUUGUAAAUAUAUUUGAGUCCAGACCACAGGCUCCUCAUCUGUGAGGGAAGAAAGUCAGAGUUCUUGGAAGAUCCAGCUCACUUGACAUAUGAUGAGAACCUCCAGGGAGAAAACCUCCAUGCCUAAGGCCAGGAAAACGUCCCCAGUGUGAGCAGGCCUGGCACCCGUCCCUUGGCAGCAGCACUCUUUGGCCACUGGAUGCCAUCUGCUGCUGGCCCUCAGUGGUGCCCUGGGCCUUGCCAGGCAUGGGUGAAGACCAAGCUCCAUCACUCCUCCCAGAAAUGGUGGCCUCUGCGGGCAACGAGCCUGCUUGUCAGAGCCACCUGCUGGCCACCACACUGCAGCACCAAACCCCACUGACGCCGGAAGCCCAGGUUAACCUUCUGAGUCUUGGGGCAGGCCUGCAGCUUUGCCUCUUCUUGACUACCAGACAUUAGUGCCGCAGCAAAUUCACAGCUCCAGCCAUGAGCACGGCACAUUUGCCAGCAGACCCGGGUGCACAGGCAGCUUGUGUUGGGACUGCACAGCCAAUGACAGACGUCUGGAGCCCAUUGCACCUCCCCAGCCCCACAGGGAGCUGCCAGAGUGGCUCACAUAUGUGAGGCUUUGCCUCUCAGCCAUCACCCAUCUGCCCAGUCUCACUUGAGGAAAACCUGUCCUGGGAAAGUGACCUGACCCAGAAAAAUAAAGCCAUCGUCUUUAAGAGCAGCCUGCUGUCAUCCAACCCAAGCACGCCACUGUCUGUCCCCUGGACGUGUCUUUGCCCAGACCCACCAGCCAGCAACUCCAGCAAACAGAAAUGGGAUGCUCCUGGAAAGAGAGUGUGAGAGCAUCCCUUGGUCUGGUUAAUGUGAGCAACUUCCCUG
This 1241-nucleotide long non-coding RNA is filed under the name Heterocephalus glaber (naked mole-rat). Its description in RNAcentral is "lncRNA (ENSHGLG00000034351.1)". The record is from RNAcentral. Lineage: Eukaryota; Metazoa; Chordata; Mammalia; Rodentia; Bathyergidae.